Molecule: ribosomal RNA, 414 nt
Filed under: Triticum aestivum (bread wheat)
Lineage: Eukaryota; Viridiplantae; Streptophyta; Magnoliopsida; Poales; Poaceae
Description: partial small subunit ribosomal RNA
Source: RNAcentral
AUGUUCGACAAGUCGCUCUGCAUCAUCGUCGGCAUCCUGAAGGUCCACUCCGGUGAGGAAGUCAUGGGGCCGAUCCCUACCGGCGAGCUCAAGGCCAUCGACCAGAUCGACGCCGCCUUCAGCACUGCAGCCACCACUGCCGACGCUGCCCCGAUAAAGGACAGGUCCACCGUCUUCGACUCUGCCUUCAGCAAGGCCAUCAAGGAGACCACUGGUGAUGCAUACGAGGCCUACAAGUUUGUCCCUGCCCUCGAGUCCACAGUCAAGAAGAGCUACGCCAUUUUUCUUCCCAGGAAUCCCCAGGACAAGCGCACGCUCAUUGAGUCAUUCCUGAGCGACACCAUCGUCUCCAUGGUCGUCCCCGCCCCCGCCAGUCCCAUCGCCGCCGCCGCUGCUGGUGGCUACAAAGUCUGA